CCAUUUUGGAAUAAGGCUGUAACAUAAAAUGUGGAAAAAGUGAAGUGCUGUGAAUACUUUCUAGGCGCACUGUAGAUCACAUCACUCCCCUCAUUCCAUGAGUGAUCACAAUGCCAUAUGACUGAUUGCAUCAUUGAUGCGCAUCCUAUAGAAUGGCUUUGACAUUUAAGUGUACAUGACAAGCAAAUAUACUUUAAAACAAAGGCAAUGGUAGCUGAUAUGUGGGGGUCCACUGAUUGUGUCUUCAGUUGUGUUCACAGUGCAAGUUGCUGUAUGUUGUACAUUUUGCUAAUCUCUAUUCAUGUGGUGCAGUCGUGCUGUGUUGUGGUCACCAAAGAAAAGUUCAUUAAUUACAAAUAAGAGGUGCACAACUGUGAACAGACAUGACCCCAUCUUCGUCCACUCUGCACAAAGCACGCACAGCGCAAGUGUGACUGGUUGUGUAUAACUGAUGCAGUUGUGUAAGAAAUGAGUAUAAGGAAAUGUUGGAGCUUUCCUAUUGUGCAGCAUCAGAACACAACUGCACCAUCGACCACCAACAGCCUGGUCUAAAGUCUGUUUGCAUGGUGCAAUAUUCAGAUACGACUUACAUAGGCAGGUUCACUCUUCUUGUACACACAGCAAUUUAAUUGGAUUCAAUUUAUUUACACAGCACUAAAUCAUAACACAAAGUGUCCUCCAAAAGUAUUGGGCCACUUGAUAUUUCACACAUUUGUUUAUGCAAUUUCAAAUACAAAAAGUAAAUCAGAUGUCUCAAUAUAACAAUUUCUAAAAUUAUCUAAUACACAACUUCUUAAACUCUGUUUUGCCAGAUUUGUCAGUUAUUUUUCCUUCUUCCAGGGUUGAUGGCAUUCAACAGUAUCCAGGGCAGUUGGGAUUGAUUGAUUGAUUGAUUGGAGGAGGUUGAGGAGCAGGUGGUGUUUCAGAAUGAAAUGCUUAAAUGUUUCACCUCAGGGAGCUGUGGUGGAUGACUGCUGCUCCUGUAAAUGAUGACUUUGAUGCUUUGCUCACAGAUUCUUGUCAUUGUCAAAAAAACCUCUCACUUCUAAGUCCAUCAUCUGAAAAGCAAUGUGUCCUGAAGGAGAUAUCAGUCUUAUGGUUUAUUUCAUGUUUGAUCCAAAACACACCCGUGAAUAAUUACGUGUCUAAAUACAAGCCCAUUUGCAGCAAGCAUGUUAAUUUGCACCCAGAUUACACGCUGUGGAUAUAGCAAAAUGGAGUUGGACACACCCCAAAUGCACUUGUACUGUGCACUUUAGACUGUGCACUGUAGAUUGUUGCUCCUGGUGUGUAGUAAGCACCUUGUAUGGCAGCACCCUCACAUCGGAGUGAAUGUGAGGCAUUAUUGUAAAGCACUCUGAGCGUCUGAUGCAGAUGGAAAAGCUCUAUAUAAAUGCAGUCCAUUUACUAUGACAGGGCCCUCAGCUACAUAGCACAGAGACUGGGAUUCUGGACAACUGCCCCUACACACAAUCACAUACAAACACUCUAUAUUUGAAGUAUACUGAGUCUCCAAAUCACAAAUAUUAAAACCACUCACCACUGAGGUGACAAAAUUUAAUUUGGUUCAAACUUAAUUUCAUUGCUUUUUUUAAUGAAUGUAUUCAUUUAGAUUAAAGCCAAAUUAAGUGAAAUUAUUUCACACCAUUGUUAUAAAUAAGCUGAUGUGUGAUGUUACACUGUUUAAGUGACAAUUUGUUUUUUUUUUGUUUUGUUUUUUGUUUUUUUUGCAGUGGGAAAAUGGAAGAGUCUUAAAUGCCAAGAGUGAGAAAAGUCUCUGGUGUUGUGAGUCGAAACCUUACUAGUCUAGGACCUAGCUUAGAUAUGUGUGCACAUCAUUUAGGAGAGGAUAACUCAACUGUUCUCGAUGAAUAUGACCUCACUGAACAACUAUAUGUGAUAUGUGCCAAAAUCUCUGUCCAGGUUGAACAGGCCUAAAAUUACGCCCUUUUUUGUCCAGAGUGUUACUUUAAAUACAGCUGUAUUUUCUAAACUGCAGCAGCUACAGAUUUUCCAAGGUAUUCAAAAUGUUCAGAAUGACCAGUACAUGUUUAGAGGAGUUAUAGAGGAGUUAUAGAAGAGUGUAAAAUUUCAAAUUUUGAUAUUUUAAGAGAAAACCACUAAAAACCAUUUGGUCAAAUGACCUAUACAUUGUCCGGAAUCACCACAAAUUUAGUGACUUAAACUUUCUGGGCUAUUGGCUGUUGGGAAAUUUACCUGAUAAUCUUUAACAUAUUUAAGAUCUCUAGAUACUGCUGUCUGCUAAAGAAACAAUUUUUUGUUUUGUAUUUUUCACUUUAAAUCGGUAUUGAAUGAAUGAAUACUAUGUUCCAUUGAUAGCAGUAUGAUUGAAAAUAAAAUUUCAUUAUAUUUGGACCCCCUUAUUUUAGCCAUUUUCUCUUAAAAUAAUUUUACCCUUUUCUAUGACCCUUCUAAACAUGUACUGGUCAUUCUGAACAUUUUGAACACCUUAGAAAAUCUAUAGUUGCUGCAUUGUAGAAAAUACAGCUGUAUUUGAAGCAACACUCCGGAUGAAAAAGGACAUGGUCAUUUCCGGGUUGGUCGCCCUGGAUAGAGAUUUUGGCACAUAUCUCAAGUUGUUCAUUGGGGUCAUAUUAGUCCAGAACAGUUGAGUUAUCCUCUCCUAAAUGAUGUGCACACAUGUCUCAGCUAGAUCCUCUACUAGCAAAAUCACCAGUGUUAAAUUAACACUGAUAGUGUACAUAUGGUCCCACUCUGGCCAGAGUAGGACCAUAUGUACAAUGGCAGUGUUAAUUUAACACUGGUGCACCGGGGUGACACAAUAGUCUUAAUUUAUCAUUUAUGGUGAUGGUAAUUUUGUACUUGCUUGUGACACUGUUGCCGAAACAGUCUUAUGCCAGAGUUUCAAUUGCCAUUUGUUCUUUUGUUGUAUUUUAUUUUUUCCCCCCACAUUUAAAGACUCUAUUUCAGAUCCACAUGCAGCUUUACGGAAACAAAUGAUUUGAACAAAACGGGGAUUUGUUAAUCUGAUCAAAGAUGUAAUUUGCAUCAUAUGAAGUAUGCUGACAAAAAAAAAUUCCACUUAUUUGGUUGUAAAACAUGGAUCAUUUAUACCUGCUGCCCGACGCACAUCUGCACUUCCAAUUGUCUAAAAGUCAACAUGUCAAAACUCAAAAAGAUGGAACAGGUUUACUUUUGAUUUAUUCCAACCUCAGCAGCAAAGGAUGAAAUAUGGUGAAGUAUUGGGGGCAUUAGUUGGAACACGGAAAAAGCCUGAAAGUAAACCUGAUAACAGAGUCCUGGAAAAAAAGCUAAAGAUGCUUAUACCGUCACGCUCAAAAAAUGUAAAUGUAAUCAAAGCCAUACUUCCACUGCGAGUUCUGUCAAGCUAAAAUAAGCCAUGGUAUUUUUUUUUUUUUUUUAUCAUUUGUAAGUUAAAGUUUUAUUUUAAUCUGAUUUUACUGAUGUUCAUAUCAUUAUUGUUAAACAUUAAUAUGUUGAAUUAUGUGUGUACAUACAGUAUGUCACAGUGUUCGUGUAUUUACUUUCCAUGUGAUGGAUUUGAAAAUGAAACAGUUUAUUAAAACUAAUGAAGGUAUUCCUGCUGCCGUCCCGACAAACCGGACACAGUCAACUUUUCCCUCUUUUUCCACUUCCACCUUUUUGGUUGUGUUAACACUCUGUGUGCAUGUCCUCCUUCACUUUAACUUUUUUUUUUUUAAUUGAGCCACCUAUUUAUUUAACAUGAAAAACAUGGGUGUGGAGACCACUCUUUAGUUUGUGUCCACAUAAGCGUGUGUGUGUGUGUGUGUGUGUGUGUGUGUGUGUGUGUGUGUGUGUGUGUGUGUGUGUGUGUGUGUGUGUGUGUGUGUGUGUGUGUGUGUGUGUGUGUGUGUGUGUGUUUUACAGCUGAGGUGUGAUUGUUUUAUAUAUAAGUACCAGUAAAUAGAGGGUUUCAUUAAGGGUAAACUGAAAUUGAAGCACUUGUCCAGCAGCAGUACCGAUGACUUUAGUGUGGUUUGUCUGCGUUCAGGCCUUUACGAUCUGCAGUGGUGUCUUCAUUCACACGUGAUUGAUCAGCAGUAUCAUUGUGGAAAGGAAGAAUAGAAACUACUGUAAAGAUGAUUGUUUUUAUUAUUAUUAUUUUGAACUUUGAAGUGUAAAAUAACUUUUUGACUCAGUAUAUUUAAUUAAAGUUCUUUCUUCUGUGUGAAAA
Molecule: long non-coding RNA, 4198 nt
Organism: Thalassophryne amazonica
Lineage: Eukaryota; Metazoa; Chordata; Actinopteri; Batrachoidiformes; Batrachoididae
Exons: 2
Source: RefSeq, a predicted model, not a curated record